This 369-nucleotide long non-coding RNA is filed under the name Gossypium barbadense (sea-island cotton). Its description in RNAcentral is "long non-coding RNA (GBAR_LNC003587)". The record is from RNAcentral. Lineage: Eukaryota; Viridiplantae; Streptophyta; Magnoliopsida; Malvales; Malvaceae.
CGAUGUUGAACGUUAUGCGACAGUGCUUUUAAAUUGCAAAAUUCUGACCUUGAGAACUUGCUAUGAAUUCGAACCUGAGGCGCUUCGUGUGCUUGGUAAGAUACACCAGAAACCAAUUGUUCCACUUGGGUUGUUGCCACCAUCACUGUCGAACAUAGAAGAUAAAGGAGAUGAGAAUUGGAAAGCAUUGAAGAAAUGGCUUGAUAGUAAGCAAGAGAAGUCGGUUUUCUACGUUGCACUCGGUAGCGAGGUGAGUCUAAGUCAACAGUCCAUGCACGAGUUGGCAUUUGGGAUAGAGAAGUCCGGGUUACCAUUUAUUUGGGUUGUGAGGAAACCCCCUUUAGUUGAAGAACAGUUUGCAGAGGUCAU